Molecule: microRNA precursor, 84 nt
Filed under: Bombyx mori (domestic silkworm)
Lineage: Eukaryota; Metazoa; Arthropoda; Insecta; Lepidoptera; Bombycidae
Description: mir-2807 microRNA precursor family
Rfam family: mir-2807 microRNA precursor family
Source: Rfam by way of RNAcentral
UUACCUCAUAUUUGUAUGGAAUGGGAUCGUUUGCCUACGUUUGCCGUUAGGGGCGCUGUUCCAACUGCAUACAAAAUUGGCUUA